This 305-nucleotide ribosomal RNA is filed under the name uncultured bacterium. Its description in RNAcentral is "bacterial SSU rRNA". It matches the Rfam family "Bacterial small subunit ribosomal RNA", at positions 334 to 655 of the family's 1533-position model. The record is from RNAcentral.
UGAACCUACGGGGCGCAGCAGUCGGGAAUAUUGCGCAAUGGAGGAAACUCUGACGCAGUGACGCCGCGUAUAGGAAGAAGGUUUUCGGAUUGUAAACUAUUGUCGUUAGGGAAGAUAAAAGACUGUACCUAAGGAGGAAGCCCCGGCUAACUCCGUGCCAGCAGCCGCGGUAAUACGGAGGGUGCGAGCGUUAAUCGGAAUUACUGGGCGUAAAGCGCUCGUAGGCGGUAUGUCAAGUCAAGGGUGAAAUCCCCGCGCUCAACGUGGGAACUGCCUUUGAAACUGGCAAACUGGAGUGUGUGAGG